CCCCCUCUGAUGGGUCAGCGCAAAGCUGAACUGAGCUGGCCAUCAAAUCACUCUGCCUCUUUCUGGUUUGCCGAGGCAGACUUUCCCCUGUGAAGGGAACUACAGCUGCUACUGUGGGGUUACUCUGACCAAGCGUCCCUUCACCUCAGGAAGAAUGAGCUUCAUGUGACUUCACGUGGAUGAAGAACAUGUCCAGCAUGAAUUUCCAUUGUUGGCAGGCCACAAUGAUAAAAUUGUGCUAUCAGACCCGUACAGAGCACAUCCUCAUCUGGGUUCCCCUCCAGCAUCAUAGGGUUCCCCUCCAGCAUCAACAGCUGCCACAUCAGCACCUAUGGGAACUCCUACAAGUACUCUAGAAAGGGCGUCAGCAUUUGCAUUUUUCUUUGCCGGAUCAAUACUUCAUGUCGUAAUCAAAGGCUGCCAAUUGUGCCACCCACCUUUGCUCCCUGGCCCCCAACCGGGCACUCUGCAGAGGGGCUACAGGGUUGUUGUCUGUAUAAACUGCCACCUUGGACCCCAUUAGAUAAUCUUUACACUUUUCUGCGAUAGCCCACUUCAAGGCUAGCAGUUCUAAUUUGAAGGAACUAUAGUUAGUGUCAUUCUGCUCACUAGGAAAUAGGUUACAAACACCAUAUCAUGAUGAUAUCAAUAUUAGAGAGAAUAAUUGAAUUGAAAUUUUGCGUUGCACUCUAGUAAGUAAACACUCCCCAGUACACAGUGUGUUCUUAACCUGUGAUGUCAUAAUGUGGACUCUGCUAUGACCUAUUAGUUUGAAGGCACAUAUUUACAUGUCACCUAUAGCUUUUGUUUUCUGUUCAUGUUUUACAGAAAAGAUAAGAUUUAAGAUCAAUUUCAUCAAGUCUAUUACGAGAGUGACUACACAAUUUAACAUUUGCACAAGAAACCGUUAUUUAGGUGUAAGAAUUCAUGCACACCAGGGGUGCCUUUCCAAAAGUGUGGCUGAACAGCUACCAUCAUCACUUUGAAUUCGCUCUCUCUUGGUAGGUGUUCAAUGAUGCUUUUGGGAGACGCAGUCCAGGACCACAAGGCACACAACCACCAACGACUCCUUGGAUCGUUUGCAUUGGCCUUUGGGCGAUUAGAUAUGGCUAGUUCUUGGAAACAAUGCUGCACUGUCAAAUCCCCAUGAAUUAAACCACCAUAGAGAACUGCCCAUUGUAACAAACGGGCAAAAUAUAUCAAAUAAAUAUGGACUAAACCUGCUUCAACAACUAAACUAAAAUAUAUCAAAUAGACAUGAACUAAACCUGCUUCAACAACCAAACCACAAUAACUAGUAUACCCGUCUGCAUAACACAGC
This is a long non-coding RNA of Clupea harengus (Atlantic herring), 1321 nucleotides long. Lineage: Eukaryota; Metazoa; Chordata; Actinopteri; Clupeiformes; Clupeidae. The record is from Ensembl.